GAUGAACGCUGGCGGCGUGCCUAAUACAUGCAAGUCGAGCGAAUGGAUUAAGAGCUUGCUCUUAUGAAGUUAGCGGCGGACGGGUGAGUAACACGUGGGUAACCUGCCCAUAAGACUGGGAUAACUCCGGGAAACCGGGGCUAAUACCGGAUAACAUUUUGAACCGCAUGGUUCGAAAUUGAAAGGCGGCUUCGGCUGUCACUUAUGGAUGGACCCGCGUCGCAUUAGCUAGUUGGUGAGGUAACGGCUCACCAAGGCAACGAUGCGUAGCCGACCUUGGAGGGUGAUCGGCCACACUUGGACUGAGACACGGCCCAGACUCCUACGGGAGGCAGCAGUAGGGAAUCUUCCGCAAUGGACGAGAGUCUGACGGAGCAACGCCGCGUGAGUGAUGAGGGCUUUCGGGUCGUAAAACUCUGUUGUUAGGGAAGAACAAGUGCUAGUUGAAUAAGCUGGCACCUUGACGGUACCUAACCAGAAAGCCACGGCUAACUACGUGCCAGCAGCCGCAGUAA
RNAcentral lists this ribosomal RNA (515 nucleotides) under uncultured bacterium. Its description in RNAcentral is "partial 16S ribosomal RNA". It matches the Rfam family "Bacterial small subunit ribosomal RNA", at positions 28 to 523 of the family's 1533-position model. The record is from RNAcentral.